CCUACGGGAGGCAGCAGUGAGGAAUAUUGGUCAAUGGGCGCGAGCCUGAACCAGCCAAGUAGCGUGAAGGAUGACUGCCCUACGGGUUGUAAACUUCUUUUAUAAAGGAAUAAAGUGAGGCACGUGUGCCUUUUUGUAUGUACUUUAUGGAUAAGGAUCGGCUAACUCCGUGCCAGCAGCCGCGGUAAUACGGAGGAUCCGAGCGUUAUCCGGAUUUAUUGGGUUUAAAGGGAGCGUAGAUGGGUUGUUAAGUCAGUUGUGAAAGUUUGCGGCCCAACCGUAAAAUUGCAAUUGAUACUGGCAGUCGUGAGUACAGUUGAGGUAGGCGGAAUUCGUGGUGUAGCGGUGAAAUGCUUAGAUAUCACGAAGAACUCCGAUUGCGAAGGCAGCGUACUAAACUGCCACUGACAUUGAUGCGCGAAAGUGUGGGGAGCAAACAGGAUUAGAUACCCUAGUAGUC
RNAcentral lists this ribosomal RNA (460 nucleotides) under uncultured bacterium. Its description in RNAcentral is "partial 16S ribosomal RNA". It matches the Rfam family "Bacterial small subunit ribosomal RNA", at positions 338 to 795 of the family's 1533-position model. The record is from RNAcentral.